Molecule: ribosomal RNA, 344 nt
Filed under: uncultured bacterium
Lineage: Bacteria
Description: bacterial SSU rRNA
Rfam family: Bacterial small subunit ribosomal RNA
Source: RNAcentral
AGGGUUUGAUUAUGGCUCAGGAUGAACGCUGGCGGCGUGCUUAACACAUGCAAGUCGAGCGAAGCGAUAAAGCGGAAGUUUUCGGAUGGAAGGUUUAUUGACUGAGCGGCGGACGGGUGAGUAACGCGUGGGUAACCUGCCUCAUACAGGGGGAUAACAGUUAGAAAUGACUGCUAAUACCGCAUAAGCGCACAGUGCUGCAUGGCACAGUGUGAAAAACUCCGGUGGUAUGAGAUGGACCCGCGUCUGAUUAGCUAGUUGGUAAGGUAACGGCUUACCAAGGCGACGAUCAGUAGCCGACCUGAGAGGGUGACCGGCCACAUUGGGACUGAGACACGGCCCAA